GCACACAUUUCAGCAGCACAUUAACUAAAAUUGGAGUGAUACAAAGAUUAGCAUGCCCCUUGCACAGGGAUGACAUGCAAAUUUGUAACGUGUCCAUAUUUUUU
Small nuclear RNA from Suricata suricatta (meerkat), 104 nucleotides. NCBI's taxonomy places the organism in Eukaryota, Metazoa, Chordata, Mammalia, Carnivora, Herpestidae. The record is from Ensembl.